GAUGAACGCUGGCGGCGUGCCUAAUACAUGCAAGUCGAGCGAACGGACGAGAAGCUUGCUUCUCUGAUGUUAGCGGCGGACAGGUGAGUAACACGUGGAUAACCUACCUAUAAGACUGGGAUAACUUCGGGAAACCGGAGCUAAUACCGGAUAAUAUUUUGAACCGCAUGGUUCAAAAGUGAAAGACGGUCUUGCUGUCACUUAUAGAUGGAUCCGCGCUGCAUUAGCUAGUUGGUAAGGUAACGGCUUACCAAGGCAACGAUGCAUAGCCGACCUGAGAGGGUGAUCGGCCACACUGGAACUGAGACACGGUCCAGACUCCUACGGGAGGCAGCAGUAGGGAAUCUUCCGCAAUGGGCGAAAGCCUGACGGAGCAACGCCGCGUGAGUGAUGAAGGUCUUCGGAUCGUAAAACUCUGUUAUUAGGGAAGAACAUAUGUGUAAGUAACUGUGAACAUCUUGACGGUACCUAAUCAGAAAGCCACGGCUAACUACGUG
Molecule: ribosomal RNA, 497 nt
Filed under: uncultured bacterium
Lineage: Bacteria
Description: partial 16S ribosomal RNA
Rfam family: Bacterial small subunit ribosomal RNA
Source: RNAcentral